Oncorhynchus tshawytscha (Chinook salmon) is the source of this 1103-nucleotide long non-coding RNA. Lineage: Eukaryota; Metazoa; Chordata; Actinopteri; Salmoniformes; Salmonidae. The record is from Ensembl.
UAGGGGUAUCCCUCAUCAAUUUUAAAAACUACUCAUGGGAUAUAAGGGACGGUGGGAGAAAAAUGACACUCAUUUCUAAUUUCAUAACCUGUCCGAUAGAUUGAUCUCGUGUAGGUGCAAUGGGCAGUAGGUACAAGGGGUGUGUGUGGUGAUUGUCUGUAAUUACACACAGAGGCACAUUAAGUCUGACAGAUACAUGGAGGCUGCUUGAUGAGGGUGCCCAUUUCAAUUAAGGACAUUAAAUGAGAAAACCUUAUAGAGUAGCUCCCUGCCAGACAUAAGCAGAAUUAAUACACUGCACAGGCUCAUUAACUAGCAUGUUAAUUGCACCCUAAUUAACCAUUUAGUUAUUUGAGUACCCUUUUAUCAUUUAGUCACAGUCAAAAGGAGAAGAAAUGGCAGGUAUGUCAUCACCUUGGUUACUAACCGUUGUAAUUCAUCCAUCAUGGGUCUUGGGUUGAAAGUAGAACAAAAUUCAUUUCCAUUGCCUCAACAAGACAAUGGACUGCAACGUCUCCACAUUGAAUGUGAAAUUAAAUGAACUGAUGAAAGAGUGCUUGUAGGCCUACUCCCAUAUUGAUGGUUGAUUGGUCAAAUAAUGAACCUGUCACUGUAAGCAGGUGAGAGAACUUGAUUAUGAAGAGGAACCAAAAUGGCCGCCAAGGUGUGAGCAUAGAGAGAAGAUUCAUCUUUGUAUCUGUGCCAUUAUGACAUCUAUGACAGUACAUUUUCUUCUUCUCGAUUGGCUGAUCCCUCCUGAUGUCCCGGUUAGACAUGACUCCAACAGGGUGCAACCUUUCUUCUAUGAAAAAAGAAAUCCCCAAUGUAUUUACAGGGACUGGCCAAGAAAAGAGAGACCACUGGCCAGUGUCAUUCUACUAUUUAUUACACAUAUUACAUUCUUAAAUACAAAUGAUUCACUCAACAGUUCUUGCAUAGAGAUAUUACAAUACCAAUUUAAAAAAGAAUUAUGAAACAAACCAGUAACAAAAAUAAAUCUUUCCUUUUUCCAUAAUAAAGAACAUUGUCAUACUAACAUCAUACAAAUAAUAAUUUUGAAAACACUUUGUACAGCAAAGAAAAGGAGUGAGAAAGAGAGUAUA